AUUGAACGCUGGCGGAAUGCUUCACACAUGCAAGUCGAACGGCAGCACGGACUUCGGUCUGAGGGCGAGUGGCGAACGGGUGAGUAAUGUCUCGGAACGUGCCCAGUCGUGGGGGAUAACGUAGUGAAAAUUACGCUAAUCCCGCAUACGCUCUAUGGAUGAUAGCGGGGGAACGCAAGACAUCGCGCGAUUGGAGUUGCCGAUAUCAGAUUAGGUAGUUGGUGGGGUAAGCGCCCACCAAGCCAACGAUCUGUAGCUGGUCUGAGAGGACGACCAGCCACACUGGAACUGAGACACGGUCCAGACUCCUACGGGAGGCAGCAGUGGGGAAUUUUGGACAAUGGGCGAAAGCCUGAUCCAGCCAUUCCGCGUGCAGCAUGAAGGCCCUCGGGUUGUAAACUGCUUUUGUACAGAACGAAAAGGUUUCUACUAAUACUAGGAGCUCAUGACGGUACUGUAAGAAUAAGCACCGGCUAACUACGUGCCAGCCGCCGCGGUAA
RNAcentral lists this ribosomal RNA (500 nucleotides) under uncultured bacterium. Its description in RNAcentral is "partial 16S ribosomal RNA". It matches the Rfam family "Bacterial small subunit ribosomal RNA", at positions 30 to 523 of the family's 1533-position model. The record is from RNAcentral.